This 20-nucleotide microRNA is filed under the name Lotus japonicus. RNAcentral's name for it is "lja-miR11078c-5p". Lineage: Eukaryota; Viridiplantae; Streptophyta; Magnoliopsida; Fabales; Fabaceae. The record is from miRBase by way of RNAcentral.
CGUCAACCAAUCAGAUUUCA